Molecule: ribosomal RNA, 254 nt
Filed under: uncultured bacterium
Lineage: Bacteria
Description: partial 16S ribosomal RNA
Rfam family: Bacterial small subunit ribosomal RNA
Source: RNAcentral
UACGAAGGGGGCUAGCGUUGCUCGGAAUCACUGGGCGUAAAGCGCACGUAGGCGGAUUGCUAAGUCGAGGGGUGAAAUCCUGGAGCUCAACUCCAGAACUGCCUUUGAUACUGGCGAUCUUGAGUCCGGGAGAGGUGAGUGGAACUGCGAGUGUAGAGGUGAAAUUCGUAGAUAUUCGGAGGAACACCAGUGGCGAAGGCGGCUCACUGGUCCGGUACUGACGCUGAGGUGCGAAAGCGUGGGGAGCAAACAGG